RNAcentral lists this ribosomal RNA (468 nucleotides) under uncultured bacterium. Its description in RNAcentral is "partial 16S ribosomal RNA". It matches the Rfam family "Bacterial small subunit ribosomal RNA", at positions 28 to 507 of the family's 1533-position model. The record is from RNAcentral.
GACGAACGCUGGCGGCGUGCUUAACACAUGCAAGUCGAACGGAAAGGCCCUGCUUUUGUGGGGUGCUCGAGUGGCGAACGGGUGAGUAACACGUGAGUAACCUGCCCUUGACUUUGGGAUAACUUCAGGAAACUGGGGCUAAUACCGGAUAGGAGCUCCUGCUGCGUGGUGGGGGUUGGAAAGUUUCGGUGGUUGGGGAUGGACUCGCGGCUUAUCAGCUUGUUGGUGGGGUAGUGGCUUACCAAGGCUUUGACGGGUAGCCGGCCUGAGAGGGUGACCGGCCACAUUGGGACUGAGAUACGGCCCAGACUCCUACGGGAGGCAGCAGUGGGGAAUAUUGCACAAUGGGCGGAAGCCUGAUGCAGCAACGCCGCGUGCGGGAUGACGGCCUUCGGGUUGUAAACCGCUUUCGCCUGUGACGAAGCGUGAGUGACGGUAAUGGGUAAAGAAGCACCGGCUAACUACGUG